UCUCUCACCUGCAGGGGGUCACUAUGAUUACGAAAGUGGUUUUCUCAGGGCGAGGCUUAUCCAUUGCACUCAAGAUGUUCUGAACCCUGCGAUUUCCCCAAAUGUGGGAAACUCGACUGCAUACUUUGUGGUAGUGGGGACUGCAUCAUACUCCCUC
RNAcentral lists this small nuclear RNA (157 nucleotides) under Jaculus jaculus (lesser Egyptian jerboa). RNAcentral describes it as "U1 spliceosomal RNA (ENSJJAG00000003179.1)". It matches the Rfam family "U1 spliceosomal RNA". From Rfam's summary of the family: U1 is a small nuclear RNA (snRNA) component of the spliceosome (involved in pre-mRNA splicing). Its 5' end forms complementary base pairs with the 5' splice junction, thus defining the 5' donor site of an intron. The record is from RNAcentral. Lineage: Eukaryota; Metazoa; Chordata; Mammalia; Rodentia; Dipodidae.